RNAcentral lists this long non-coding RNA (234 nucleotides) under Rosa chinensis. Its description in RNAcentral is "sRNA RchiOBHm_Chr1g0381541". The record is from RNAcentral. Lineage: Eukaryota; Viridiplantae; Streptophyta; Magnoliopsida; Rosales; Rosaceae.
GAGAGCGCUGGGAGCUCCGACCCGGACGCCACCGACCCGAGAAGGAAACCCGGCCGUCGCGCCACAGUCCGGCCACCCCACGACGGUGCACAGGCUCUAUCUCCUUCGUCUCUGCGUCGUCUACAUCCCAGUAGCCUCGGAUUAUCCAUGCACUGAGCUGGGAAGGAGAAUCGACGACAAGAAGCCCGAGCUCUUUCCGGUAACUUCUGCAAUUUUCGGUGACUCCGGCCACCG